This 254-nucleotide ribosomal RNA is filed under the name uncultured bacterium. Its description in RNAcentral is "partial 16S ribosomal RNA". It matches the Rfam family "Bacterial small subunit ribosomal RNA", at positions 524 to 777 of the family's 1533-position model. The record is from RNAcentral.
UACGUAGGGGGCAAGCGUUGUCCGGAUUCAUUGGGCGUAAAGGGCGCGUAGGCGGCCUACUAAGUCAGACGUGAAAUCCCCCGGCUUAACCUGGGAACUGCGUCUGAUACUGGAAGGCUUGAGGAUGGGAGAGGGAUGUAGAAUUCCAGGUGUAGCGGUGAAAUGCGUAGAUAUCUGGAGGAAUACCGGUGGCGAAGGCGGCAUCCUGGACCAUUACUGACGCUGAGGCGCGAAAGCUAGGGGAGCAAACGGGG